AGCGAACGCUGGCGGCGUGCCUAACACAUGCAAGUCGAACGGUUCUGUUGGGGGCGUUGCUCUCGACAGAGUAGUGGCAAACGGGUAGAGUAACACGUGGGUAAUCUUCCUUCGAGUGAGGAAUAACUUCGGGAACCGGAGCUAAUACCGCAUAACAUCUUGGAACGGCAGUUCUAAGAUCAAAGGGGGCGGCAAGCUCCCGCUUGAAGUUGAGCUCGCGUCCUAUCAGCUAGUUGGUGAGGUAAUGGCUCACCAAGGCUCCGACGGGUAGCCGGCCUGAGAGGGUGGCCGGCCACACUGGGACUGAGACACGGCCCAGACUCCUACGGGAGGCAGCAGUGGGGGAAUAUUGCGCAAUGGACGAAAGUCUGACGCAGCGACGCCGCGUGGGUGAUGAAGGCCUUCGGUCGUAAAGACCCUGUUGAGGGAGAGAAAGCUACUGUCGGUUAAUACCCGGCAGUGGUGAUAGUAUCCCUAGAGAAGACACCGGCUAACUACGUGCCAG
RNAcentral lists this ribosomal RNA (505 nucleotides) under uncultured bacterium. RNAcentral describes it as "bacterial SSU rRNA". It matches the Rfam family "Bacterial small subunit ribosomal RNA", at positions 29 to 511 of the family's 1533-position model. The record is from RNAcentral.